Molecule: ribosomal RNA, 253 nt
Filed under: uncultured bacterium
Lineage: Bacteria
Description: partial 16S ribosomal RNA
Rfam family: Bacterial small subunit ribosomal RNA
Source: RNAcentral
UACGUAGGAGGCAAGCGUUGUCCGGAAUUACUGGGCGUAAAGCGUGCGCAGGCGGUUGUGCAAGACAGAGGGGAAAUCCCCGGGCUUAACCUGGGAAUGGCCUUUGUGACUGCACGGCUAGAGUGUGUCAGAGGGGGGUAGAAUUCCACGUGUAGCAGUGAAAUGCGUAGAGAUGUGGAGGAAUACCGAUGGCGAAGGCAGCCCCCUGGGAUAACACUGACGCUCAUGCACGAAAGCGUGGGGAGCAAACAGG